ACAAUGGGCGCAAGCCUGAUGCAGCAACGCCGUGUGAGUGAAGAAGGUUUUCGGAUUCGUAAAACUCUGUCCUAAGGGAAGAAACAAAUGAACGGUACCUUAGGAGGAAGCCCCGGCUAACUACGUGCCAGCAGCCGCGGUAAUACGUAGGGGGCAAGCGUUAUCCGGAAUCACUGGGCGUAAAGGGUGCGUAGGCGGCUUAGCAAGCCAGGGGUGAAAGGCAUUGGCUCAACCAAUGUAAGCCUUUGGAACUGUUAAGCUUGAGUGCAGGAGAAGUAAGUGGAAUUCCUAGUGUAGAGGUGAAAUUCGUAGAUAUUAGGAGGAACACCAGUGGCGAAGGCGACUUACUGGACUGUAACUGACGCUGAUGCACGAAAGCGUGGGUAGCGAACAGGAUUAGAUACCCUGGUAG
This 412-nucleotide ribosomal RNA is filed under the name uncultured bacterium. Its description in RNAcentral is "bacterial SSU rRNA". It matches the Rfam family "Bacterial small subunit ribosomal RNA", at positions 368 to 793 of the family's 1533-position model. The record is from RNAcentral.